GGUGAACGCUGGCGGCGUGCCUAACACAUGCAAGUCGAGCGGUGCAGUUUGAAGCUUCGGUGAAAGCUGCAUAGCGGCGGACGGGUGAGGAAAACGUAGGAACGUGCCCCUUGGAGUUGGAUAGCCACGGGAAACUGUGGGUAAACCGACAUAGACUCGAGAGAGUAAAGGCCGAAAGGCGCCAAGGGAGCGGCCUGCGGCCCAUCAGGUAGUUGGUAGUGUAAAGGACUACCAAGCCGACGACGGGUAGCCGGUCUGAGAGGAUGGCCGGCCACAAGGGCACUGAGAGACGGGCCCUACUCCUACGGGAGGCAGCAGUGGGGGAUUUUGGACAAUGGGCGAAAGCCUGAUCCAGCGACGCCGCGUGGAGGACGAAGCCCUUCGGGGUGUAAACUCCUUUUCUCAGGGAAAAAGGAUGAUGGUACCUGAGGAAUAAGCCCCGGCUAACUACGUG
RNAcentral lists this ribosomal RNA (454 nucleotides) under uncultured bacterium. Its description in RNAcentral is "bacterial SSU rRNA". It matches the Rfam family "Bacterial small subunit ribosomal RNA", at positions 28 to 507 of the family's 1533-position model. The record is from RNAcentral.